This 76-nucleotide small RNA is filed under the name Xanthomonas bromi. RNAcentral describes it as "sX9 sRNA". It matches the Rfam family "Xanthomonas sRNA sX9". Lineage: Bacteria; Pseudomonadati; Pseudomonadota; Gammaproteobacteria; Lysobacterales; Lysobacteraceae. The record is from RNAcentral.
AUGUGCCACGCGGACACUGCGGUUGCUGCGCGCCGUCCACGCGCACCUGACAACGGCUCGCUAUGUGUUGGUCGCC